RNAcentral lists this ribosomal RNA (510 nucleotides) under uncultured bacterium. RNAcentral describes it as "bacterial SSU rRNA". It matches the Rfam family "Bacterial small subunit ribosomal RNA", at positions 30 to 518 of the family's 1533-position model. The record is from RNAcentral.
CGAACGCUGGCGGCGUGCUUAACACAUGCAAGUCGAACGCGAAAGGGGACUUCGGUCCUGAGUAAAGUGGCGCACGGGUGAGUAACGCGUAGAUAACCUGUCUUCAUGUCUGGAAUAAUACGCCGAAAGGGGUACUAAUACCGGAUAUUCUUGCUUUUCAUAAGUUAUGCAAGCAAAGGUGGCCUCUGCAUAUGCUACUGCAUGAAGAGGGGUCUGCGUACCAUUAGCUAGUAGGUGGGGUAAUGGCCUACCUAGGCGACGAUGGUUAGCGGGUCUGAGAGGAUGAUCCGCCACACUGGCACUGGAACACGGGCCAGACUCCUACGGGAGGCAGCAGUGAGGAAUAUUGCGCAAUGGGGGAAACCCUGACGCAGCGACGCCGCGUGAGUGAAGGAAGGCCUUCGGGUCGUAAAGCUCUGUCAAGAGGAAAGAAGUGUACAAUGGCUAAUACCUGUUGUAUUUGACGGUACCUCUAAAGGAAGCACCGGCUAACUCCGUGCCAGCCGCAGC